AUGACCUAUGGAUUGACAGCCAGUCCUGCUUUGUUCUCUGCCUGUCAGUCCUGUAGGCCACAG
This 63-nucleotide microRNA precursor is filed under the name Microcaecilia unicolor. RNAcentral describes it as "Mun-Mir-192-P4_pre stem-loop". It matches the Rfam family "mir-192/215 microRNA precursor family", at positions 9 to 68 of the family's 76-position model. Rfam says of the family: This family represents the human microRNA (miRNA) precursors mir-192 and mir-215. Animal miRNAs are transcribed as ~70nt precursors and subsequently processed by the Dicer enzyme to give a ~22nt product. In this case the mature sequence comes from the 5' arm of the precursor. The record is from RNAcentral. Lineage: Eukaryota; Metazoa; Chordata; Amphibia; Gymnophiona; Siphonopidae.